AUUGAACGCUGGCGGCAGGCCUAACACAUGCAAGUCGAGCGCGAAAGUCUUCGGAUGAGUAAAGCGGCGAACGGGUGAGUAACGCGUGGGAAUCUGCCCAGUAGUGGGGGACAACAGCCGGAAACGGCUGCUAAUACCGCAUACGCCCUACGGGGGAAAGGGGGGGAUCUUCGGACCACUCGCUAUUGGAUGAGCCCGCGUCGGAUUAGCUAGUUGGUGAGGUAAAGGGUCACCAAGGCGACGAUCCGUAACUGGUCUGAGAGGAUGAUCAGUCAGACUGGAACUGAGACACGGUCCAGACUCCUACGGGAGGCAGCAGUGGGGAAUAUUGGACAAUGGGGGCAACCCUGAUCCAGCCAUGCCGCGUGUGUGAAGAAGGCCCUAGGGUUGUAAAGCACUUUCAGUGGGGAGAAAAGUGAUUCACCUAAUACGUGAGUCAAUUGAUGUUACCCACAGAAGAAGCACCGGCUAACUCCGUGCCAGCCGCCGCAGUAA
RNAcentral lists this ribosomal RNA (495 nucleotides) under uncultured bacterium. Its description in RNAcentral is "partial 16S ribosomal RNA". It matches the Rfam family "Bacterial small subunit ribosomal RNA", at positions 30 to 523 of the family's 1533-position model. The record is from RNAcentral.